GGUCUGUACUCCUCGACAGUGAUGAGGUCUUGGUGUACUACUAUGAUGACGUUAGAACCCUAUAUGAAGGUUUCCAGAGGGGCCUGCACAUGUCAAACAAUGGCCCUUGAUUAGGCUCUAGGAAACCAGACCAACCCUAUGAAUGGCUUUCCUACAAGCAGGUUGCAGAAUUGGCAGAGUACAUAGGCUCGGCACUGAUCCAGAAGGGUUUCAAGGCCUCCUCAGAUCAUUUCGUCAGCAUCUUCUCUCAAAAUAGACCUGAGGUAUUAACCACUAGGUGCUUACACUCUAUUUCUGAAUUGUGGAGGUAGAUAGGAACCAGAGUUCAUGCAGCUGUAUGCUUGAGACUAGAUUUUAUGGUCUGAGUUUCACUGAGAAAGGUUUUGUGUUAUGCUUUAGAAAGAUAUACAUAUGAGGGACUAGGCAUGGUGGCUCAUGCCAACUAAUACCACCUACUUGUGAAACAGAGGGAAGGAGGAUCAUAAUUCAAGUGCAGCAUGGGAAGGGAAAAAGGGAGGUAACCACACAUUACCUUACAGUCAAGCGAGGGACAAAUCUUGCUCUGCAGGAGACAGUGAUGGAGAAAGAUUGUUUCUAGGCCAACCUGGGUUAAAAAAACAAGUGAAGGGACAAAGGGUGAACAAAUGCAGCAGUUAUACUCACUAAACAUUAUAUUGAAAAUGAACUAUAAAACUUGUGGUUGGAGAUGGGAGAAAGCAAAG
Long non-coding RNA from Perognathus longimembris pacificus (Pacific pocket mouse), 722 nucleotides. RefSeq lists it as uncharacterized. The record is from RefSeq and is a predicted model, not a curated record. NCBI's taxonomy places the organism in Eukaryota, Metazoa, Chordata, Mammalia, Rodentia, Heteromyidae. The transcript is spliced from 3 exons.